GCAAGUCAAACCCUGUAGCAUCCCGUUGUCCGUCAUCCUGGUGCUCCUGUUCAGUGUUUGUUGUUUGGGGAGUUCUGUGGUGUUCCUCUGCCUGUCUGCUGGAGCUCAUGUAGUUGUCUUCCUGUGUCUGUGUUUGUCUCCUGUGUCCCGUCAGUGGUUUUACCCUAUGGUAGGUUACGUCAUGCUGUUCUACCACAGGGUAGAACCACGGACGGGAUGUCUGGAGGUGUCUGCGUCGCCCUGUGGUGCCAAAAUAAACACCCUCACCCUCAAUCAUCUUUGCCCCUUUACCUUCUGUCCCGUCGGGCUCCGAGAUCUUGGGUUCUGCUGCUGGACCGGUUUUGAUUUUCGACGUGUCUGUGUUUGUGUUUUUGUUCAGUCUGUCUGCAUCUUCAUCAUUGUGUAUGGCACUUUUGUGGAUUUCUUUACAGAUCUUAGAGUUACGGCCCCGAUAUACUCCACAUUAAAUCACAAUUUUCAUUGGCGUUGAGCAGAAAGUGCAAAAUCACCCCCUGUCAGUAGAUGGCGCUUAAUGAAUUUGCAAGUCAAGAAAGAAAAGUGUCUAAAGCCUGGUUUAUACUUCUGUGCCAAGUCAUCGGCGUGACCCACGGCGCACAUAGCUGUGCAUUUAUACUUCUGCGCACUGUUUCUGUUUUUCUGCAAUAACACUUUCGAAACGCUAGUUGGCAGUGAGGUGUUUGUGUUCCUGUGUCGAGUUUCUUCGCUGGUGUUGUUUUUUCUGAACGCUUCCUUAAUGUACAAGUGGCUCAAACUCGCUCAUUUUGAGGCAGGAACUGGCGGAUGUGAAAUAACUAACUAUGAGGUAAACACAAAACAAAACUUUCCAUCUGGAGCUUCUUCAUGUGACUUCACACUUGUAAACAAUCGCUCUAUCGGCUCGCGCAGCUAUCGGUCCCACCCAGGCUCGUCAGCGCUACCAAGCUGACCAAUCACAAAGCUUAGUUGCGUAUAGUUGCGACGUGUAGUUGCAUUUUUUGAGAGGUGCACGUCAGCCACGGCCAAAGGCUAUGCGUCGACGCGUAGGCUGCACCGUAGCAUACGCAUUCGCUUGAUGCAGAAGUAAAAAUCAGCCUUAACGCUUUAGUUUAAGUAACAAUUCGCAGCAUUUACUACUUAUUACCCGUUUAUUACCACCUAAAAAGCACAAUCUUUUUUUACAUUGCUAAUCCUAUCCAAUACAGACACCCAACUACUACCCCACAACUUUGUUUUUCAGCAAAUGUAUUGAUUUUUGGAGACAAUUUAUUUAUUUUUUUAAGUCAUUUUAACAUUUAAAAAUGUAAACGUAUUAAAUUAUUAUUUUGGAUAAAGGCUUUCUUUAAAGAUUUAAUUUCGGCCUUGAUAUACUCUGUAACAAUUCUUCUUUUUGUUUGGAACACACUUUUAAAAAUAAAGUAUCUUUCACACCCAAAAAAAAAAAAAAAAAAAAAAAA
Molecule: precursor RNA, 1454 nt
Filed under: Danio rerio (zebrafish)
Lineage: Eukaryota; Metazoa; Chordata; Actinopteri; Cypriniformes; Danionidae
Description: mirn140 primary transcript
Rfam family: mir-140 microRNA precursor family (bases 142-220)
Source: RNAcentral